This 409-nucleotide ribosomal RNA is filed under the name Escherichia coli T234_00. Its description in RNAcentral is "partial 16S ribosomal RNA". The stretch from base 102 to 409 matches the Rfam family "Bacterial large subunit ribosomal RNA", at positions 1 to 313 of the family's 2925-position model. The record is from RNAcentral. Lineage: Bacteria; Pseudomonadati; Pseudomonadota; Gammaproteobacteria; Enterobacterales; Enterobacteriaceae.
UCAAGCUGAAAAUUGAAACACUGAACAACGAGAGUUGUUCGUGAGUCUCUCAAAUUUUCGCAACACGAUGAUGAAUCGAAAGAAACAUCUUCGGGUUGUGAGGUUAAGCGACUAAGCGUACACGGUGGAUGCCCUGGCAGUCAGAGGCGAUGAAGGACGUGCUAAUCUGCGAUAAGCGUCGGUAAGGUGAUAUGAACCGUUAUAACCGGCGAUUUCCGAAUGGGGAAACCCAGUGUGAUUCGUCACACUAUCAUUAACUGAAUCCAUAGGUUAAUGAGGCGAACCGGGGGAACUGAAACAUCUAAGUACCCCGAGGAAAAGAAAUCAACCGAGAUUCCCCCAGUAGCGGCGAGCGAACGGGGAGGAGCCCAGAGCCUGAAUCAGUGUGUGUGUUAGUGGAAGCGUCUGG